AUUGAACGCUGGCGGCGUGCUUAACACAUGCAAGUCGAUCGGUAACAGGUGUAGCAAUACAUGCUGACGAGAGGCGGACGGGUGAGGAAUAUUUGGGAAUCUGCCCAUCAGCGGGGGACAACCCGGGGAAACCCGGGCUAAUACCGCAUACGCUCUACGGAGGAAAGCCGGGGACCGCAAGGCCUGGCACUGAUGGAUGAGCCCAAAUCGGAUUAGCUAGUUGGCGGGGUAACGGCCCACCAAGGCGACGAUCCGUAGCUGGUCUGAGAGGACGAUCAGCCCAACCGGAACUGAGACACGGUCCGGACUCCUACGGGAGGGAGCAGUGGGGAAUAUUGGACAAUGGGGGAAACCCUGAUCCAGCGACGCCGCGUGGGUGAAGAAGGCCUGCGGGUUGUAAAGCCCUUUCGGUAGGGACGAAAGCUCUUGCUCUAAUAAUGCAAGAGGUUGACUUAACCUACAUAAGAAGCACCGGCUAACUCUGUGCCAGCCGCCGCCGUAA
Molecule: ribosomal RNA, 502 nt
Filed under: uncultured bacterium
Lineage: Bacteria
Description: partial 16S ribosomal RNA
Rfam family: Bacterial small subunit ribosomal RNA
Source: RNAcentral